GAUGAACGCUGACAGAAUGCUUAACACAUGCAAGUCAACUUGAACUUCGGUUUGGGUGGCGGACGGGUGAGUAACGCGUAAAGAACUUGCCUCACAGAUAGGGACAACAUUUGGAAACGAAUGCUAAUACCUGAUAUUAUGAUUAUAUGGCAUCGUAUAAUUAUGAAAGCUAUAUGCGCUGUGAGAGAGCUUUGCGUCCCAUUGGCUAGUUGGAGAGGUAACGGCUCACCAAGGCGAUGAUGGGUAGCCGGCCUGAGAGGGUGAUCGGCCACAAGGGGACUGAGACACGGCCCUUACUCCUACGGGAGGCAGCAGUGGGGAAUAUUGGACAAUGGACCAAGAGUCUGAUCCAGCAAUUCUGUGUGCACGAUGAAGUUUUUCGGAAUGUAAAGUGCUUUCAGUUGGGAAGAAAAAAAUGACGGUACCAACAGAAGAAGUGACGGCUAGAUACGUG
RNAcentral lists this ribosomal RNA (454 nucleotides) under uncultured bacterium. Its description in RNAcentral is "partial 16S ribosomal RNA". It matches the Rfam family "Bacterial small subunit ribosomal RNA", at positions 28 to 507 of the family's 1533-position model. The record is from RNAcentral.